This 301-nucleotide ribosomal RNA is filed under the name uncultured bacterium. RNAcentral describes it as "partial 16S ribosomal RNA". It matches the Rfam family "Bacterial small subunit ribosomal RNA", at positions 509 to 807 of the family's 1533-position model. The record is from RNAcentral.
CAGUCGCCACGGUAAUACGAGGGGGGCAAGCGUUGUUCGGAUUUAUUGGGCGUAAAGGGUGCGUAGGCGGUUUGGCAAGUCUUGUGUGAAAUCUUCGGGCUCAACCCGAAGCCUGCACGAGAAACUACCGGGCUUGAGUAUUGGAGAGGUGAGUGGAAUUUCCGGUGUAGCGGUGAAAUGCGUAGAUAUCGGAAGGAACACCUGUGGCGAAAGCGGCUCACUGGACAAUAACUGACGCUGAUGCACGGAAGCUAGGGGAGCAAACAGGAUUAGAUACCCCAGUAGUCCAUGUCUCUUAUAC